UACAGAGGGUGCAAGCGUUGUUCGGAAUUACUGGGCGUAAAGCGCGCGUAGGCGGCUUUGUAAGUUAGAGGUGAAAGCCCGGGGCUCAACCCCGGAACUGCCUUUAAGACUGCAUCGCUUGAAUCCGGGAGAGGUGAGUGGAAUUCCGAGUGUAGAGGUGAAAUUCGUAGAUAUUCGGAAGAACACCAGUGGCGAAGGCGGCUCACUGGACCGGCAUUGACGCUGAGGUGCGAAAGCGUGGGGAGCAAACAGG
RNAcentral lists this ribosomal RNA (253 nucleotides) under uncultured bacterium. RNAcentral describes it as "partial 16S ribosomal RNA". It matches the Rfam family "Bacterial small subunit ribosomal RNA", at positions 524 to 776 of the family's 1533-position model. The record is from RNAcentral.